AUGGUAGAUCAUGCAUGGAUGUAUAAUGGUUGGCAGUAUGGUCAAAUUCCCUCUAACCUAUGGCUUGAACAAACCAACCGAUUUCUAGAGCAUGCAUUCUCCUUUCCCGGCGUAGCCGAAGGUGGUAAAAUCAGGUGUCCAUGUGCCAAGUGUCGUAAUUAUAAUAAGCACGGUAGGGAUGAGGUAGAGAAACACUUGUAUAAAUACGGGUUCAGGGAAAACUAUGAAACGUGGAUAGAACAUGGUGAGAAGUAUGUUCCUAGCCAACAGGGAUCUUCCUCUGCCACAAACUGUGCGAGGCAUGAUGAAAUUUUUCCAGGCGUAGCCAAAGGUGGUAAUUCCUGA
Molecule: ribosomal RNA, 345 nt
Filed under: Triticum aestivum (bread wheat)
Lineage: Eukaryota; Viridiplantae; Streptophyta; Magnoliopsida; Poales; Poaceae
Description: partial small subunit ribosomal RNA
Source: RNAcentral